GACGAAGGGGGCUAGCGUUGUUCGGAAUUACUGGGCGUAAAGCGUGCGCAGGCGGUUCUGAAAGUCAGCUGUGAAAGCCCCGGGCUUAACCUGGGAAUGGCGGUUGAAACUACAGGACUAGAAUCUGGCAGAGGGGGGUGGAAUUCCACGUGUAGCAGUGAAAUGCGUAGAGAUGUGGAGGAACACCGAUGGCGAAGGCAGCCCCCUGGGCUGAGAUUGACGCUCAGGCACGAAAGCGUGGGGAGCAAACAGG
RNAcentral lists this ribosomal RNA (253 nucleotides) under uncultured bacterium. Its description in RNAcentral is "partial 16S ribosomal RNA". It matches the Rfam family "Bacterial small subunit ribosomal RNA", at positions 524 to 776 of the family's 1533-position model. The record is from RNAcentral.